GUGCUAGGGGAGCGGCCGAUGUCCGAUUAGCUAGUUGGUGGGGUAAUGGCUCACCAAGGCAACGAUCGGUAGCUGGUCUGAGAGGAUGAUCAGCCACACUGGGACUGAGACACGGCCCAG
Molecule: ribosomal RNA, 120 nt
Filed under: uncultured bacterium
Lineage: Bacteria
Description: partial 16S ribosomal RNA
Rfam family: Bacterial small subunit ribosomal RNA
Source: RNAcentral